RNAcentral lists this ribosomal RNA (303 nucleotides) under uncultured soil bacterium. Its description in RNAcentral is "bacterial SSU rRNA". It matches the Rfam family "Bacterial small subunit ribosomal RNA", at positions 26 to 325 of the family's 1533-position model. The record is from RNAcentral.
AGAUUGAACGCUGGCGGCAUGCCUUACACAUGCAAGUCGAACGGCAGGCACGGGGGCAACCCUGGUGGCGAGUGGCGAACGGGUGAGUAACAUAUCGGAACGUGCCCUGGAGUGGGGGGAUAACUAGUACGAAAGAUUAGCUAAUACCGCAUACGAUCUACGGAUGAAAGUGGGGGAUCGCAAGACCUCAUGCUCGUGGACGCGGCCGAUAUCUGAUUAGCUAGUUGGUAGGGGUAAAGGCCUACCAAGGCAUCGAUCAGUAGCUAGGUCUGAGGAGACGACCAGCCACACGUGGACUGAGAC